This 908-nucleotide ribosomal RNA is filed under the name Staphylococcus epidermidis. RNAcentral's name for it is "partial 16S ribosomal RNA". It matches the Rfam family "Bacterial small subunit ribosomal RNA", at positions 100 to 1011 of the family's 1533-position model. Lineage: Bacteria; Bacillati; Bacillota; Bacilli; Caryophanales; Staphylococcaceae. The record is from RNAcentral.
ACGUGUUGAGUACACGGGGUAUAACCAACCUAUAACACUGGGAUCGACUUCAUGGAAACCGUAGCUUAUACCGCAUAAUAUAUUGCACCUGCAUGGAGUCUGUAGACUACAGACCGUUUCUGCUGAACACUCUAUAUAUGGAUCCGCUCCGCAUUACCUAUUUGGUAAGGUAACGGCUUACCAUUGCAACAAUGCGUAACCGACCUGAUAGGGUGAUCGAUGANCUGAAACUGUACCACACGGUUCAUACUCCUACGGGAGGCAGCACUACUGAAUCUUCCGCAAUGGGCGAAAGCCUGACGGAUCAACGCCGCGUGACUGAUGAAGGCCUUCCGAUCCUUCAACUCUGUUAUUAUGGAAAAACCAAUGUGCAACCAACUAUGCUCGUCUUGACAGGACCUAAUCAUAUAUCCACGGGUAACUACGUACCAGCAGACGCGGUAAUGCUCAUGUGGCAAGCUUCUAUCCAGAAUUAUUGGGCCUACAGCGGUCGUAGGCGGCUUUUUANCUCUGAUGUGAAAGCCCACGGGUCAACCUCCGAGGGUCAUUGGAAACUGGAAAACUUUAGUGCACAAGAGGAAAGUGGAAUUCCAUGUGUAUCGGCGAAAUGCGCACAGAUAUGGAGGAACACCAUAGGCGAACGCGACUUUCUGGUCUGUANCUGACNUGAUGUGCGAUACGAGCGGAUCAACAGGAUUACAUACCNUGGUNUCCACCCGUAACGAUGAGUGCUAACUGUUGGNNGCNCUUCCCUUACUGCUNCACUAACGCAUAANCACUCGACCUGCGAGUACGACCGCAGGCUNAACUCAAAGNUUGACAGCGACNCGCACAGCNNAGGAGCAUGNGUUUANUUCNAGCUACCCNNUAACUUACCAAUCUGANUCCCUGACCCUCUAGANAUACAG